AUUCCGGUUGAUCCUGCCGGAGGCCAUUGCUAUCGGAGUCCGAUUUAGCCAUGCUAGUCGCACGGGUUUAGACCCGUGGCAGAUAGCUCAGUAACACGUGGCCAAACUACCCUAUGGACCGGAAUAACCUCGGGAAACUGAGGCCAAUCCCGGAUACAGCUCUCCUGCUGGAGUGCGGAGAGUUGGAAACGCUCCGGCGCCAUAGGAUGUGGCUGCGGCCGAUUAGGUAGACGGUGGGGUAACGGCCCACCGUGCCGAUAAUCGGUACGGGUCGUGAGAGCGAGCGCCCGGAGACGGUAUCUGAGACAAGAUACCGGGCCCUACGGGGCGCAGCAGGCGCGAAACCUUUACACUGCACGACAGUGCGAUAAGGGGACUCCGAGUGCGAGGGCAUAUAGUC
RNAcentral lists this ribosomal RNA (400 nucleotides) under Halobacteriaceae archaeon. RNAcentral describes it as "bacterial SSU rRNA". It matches the Rfam family "Archaeal small subunit ribosomal RNA", at positions 1 to 402 of the family's 1478-position model. Lineage: Archaea; Methanobacteriati; Methanobacteriota; Halobacteria; Halobacteriales; Halobacteriaceae. The record is from RNAcentral.